RNAcentral lists this ribosomal RNA (1223 nucleotides) under metagenome. Its description in RNAcentral is "bacterial SSU rRNA". It matches the Rfam family "Bacterial small subunit ribosomal RNA", at positions 251 to 1499 of the family's 1533-position model. The record is from RNAcentral.
GGUGAGGUAACGGCCCACCAAGGCGACGAUCGGUAGCCGGACUGAGAGGUUGAACGGCCACAUUGGGACUGAGACACGGCCCAGACUCCUACGGGAGGCAGCAGUGGGGAAUAUUGCACAAUGGGGGAAACCCUGAUGCAGCGACGCCGCGUGGAGGAAGAAGGUCUUCGGAUUGUAAACUCCUGUUGUUGAGGAAGAUAAUGACGGUACUCAACAAGGAAGUGACGGCUAACUACGUGCCAGCAGCCGCGGUAAAACGUAGGUCACAAGCGUUGUCCGGAAUUACUGGGUGUAAAGGGAGCGCAGGCGGGAAGACAAGUUGGAAGUGAAAUCUAUGGGCUCAACCCAUAAACUGCUUUCAAAACUGUUUUUCUUGAGUAGUGCAGAGGUAGGCGGAAUUCCCGGUGUAGCGGUGGAAUGCGUAGAUAUCGGGAGGAACACCAGUGGCGAAGGCGGCCUACUGGGCACCAACUGACGCUGAGGCUCGAAAGUGUGGGUAGCAAACAGGAUUAGAUACCCUGGUAGUCCACACCGUAAACGAUGAUUACUAGGUGUUGGAGGAUUGACCCCUUCAGUGCCGCAGUUAACACAAUAAGUAAUCCACCUGGGGAGUACGACCGCAAGGUUGAAACUCAAAGGAAUUGACGGGGGCCCGCACAAGCAGUGGAGUAUGUGGUUUAAUUCGACGCAACGCGAAGAACCUUACCAAGUCUUGACAUCCUGCGACGAUGCUGGAAACAGUAUUUUCCUUCGGGACGCAGAGACAGGUGGUGCAUGGUUGUCGUCAGCUCGUGUCGUGAGAUGUUGGGUUAAGUCCCGCAACGAGCGCAACCCUUACUGUCAGUUACUACGCAAGAGGACUCUGGCAGGACUGCCGUUGACAAAACGGAGGAAGGUGGGGAUGACGUCAAAUCAUCAUGCCCUUUAUGACUUGGGCUACACACGUACUACAAUGGCGUUAAACAAAGAGAAGCAAGACCGCGAGGUGGAGCAAAACUCAGAAACAACGUCCCAGUUCGGACUGCAGGCUGCAACUCGCCUGCACGAAGUCGGAAUUGCUAGUAAUCGUGGAUCAGCAUGCCACGGUGAAUACGUUCCCGGGCCUUGUACACACCGCCCGUCACACCAUGAGAGCCGGGGGGACCCGAAGUCGGUAGUCUAACCGCAAGGAGGACGCCGCCGAAGGUAAAACUGGUGAUUGGGGUGAAGUCGUAACAAGGUAG